This 74-nucleotide transfer RNA is filed under the name Actinoplanes digitatis. It matches the Rfam family "tRNA". Rfam says of the family: Transfer RNA (tRNA) molecules are approximately 80 nucleotides in length. The record is from Rfam by way of RNAcentral. RNAcentral also lists the same sequence under 2 other names. Lineage: Bacteria; Bacillati; Actinomycetota; Actinomycetes; Micromonosporales; Micromonosporaceae.
ACGGGUGUAGCUCAACGGCUUAGAGCACCGGCCUCCAAAUCCGAAGGUUGCAGGUUCGAAUCCUGCCACCCGUG